Molecule: transfer RNA, 63 nt
Filed under: Heterocephalus glaber (naked mole-rat)
Lineage: Eukaryota; Metazoa; Chordata; Mammalia; Rodentia; Bathyergidae
Rfam family: tRNA
About the family: Transfer RNA (tRNA) molecules are approximately 80 nucleotides in length. Their secondary structure includes four short double-helical elements and three loops (D, anti-codon, and T loops).
Source: Rfam by way of RNAcentral
GUGUGGCUCAGCAGUACAGCUCUUGCCUGGCAUGUAGGAGGCCUUGGGUUCAAUCCCCAAUAC